RNAcentral lists this ribosomal RNA (497 nucleotides) under uncultured bacterium. Its description in RNAcentral is "partial 16S ribosomal RNA". It matches the Rfam family "Bacterial small subunit ribosomal RNA", at positions 28 to 507 of the family's 1533-position model. The record is from RNAcentral.
GAUGAACGCUGGCGGCGUGCCUAAUACAUGCAAGUCGAGCGAACGGACGAGAAGCUUGCUUCUCUGAUGUUAGCGGCGGACGGGUGAGUAACACGUGGAUAACCUACCUAUAAGACUGGGAUAACUUCGGGAAGCCGGAGCUAAUACCGGAUAAUAUUUUGAACCGCAUGGUUCAAAAGUAAAAGACGGUCUUGCUGUCACUUAUAGAUGGAUCCGCGCUGCAUUAGCUAGUUGGUAAGGUAACGGCUUACCAAGGCAACGAUGCAUAGCCGACCUGAGAGGGUGAUCGGCCACACUGGAACUGAGACACGGUCCAGACUACUACGGGAGGCAGCAGUAGGGAAUCUUCCGCAAUGGGCGAAAGCCUGACGGAGCAACGCCGCGUGAGUGAUGAAGGUCUUCGGAUCGUAAAACUCUGUUAUUAGGGAAGAACAUAUGUGUAAGUAACUGUGCACAUCUUGACGGUACCUAAUCAGAAAGCCACGGCUAACUACGUG